This 440-nucleotide ribosomal RNA is filed under the name uncultured bacterium. Its description in RNAcentral is "partial 16S ribosomal RNA". It matches the Rfam family "Bacterial small subunit ribosomal RNA", at positions 338 to 795 of the family's 1533-position model. The record is from RNAcentral.
CCUACGGGAGGCAGCAGUAGGGAAUUUUGCGCAAUGGGGGAAACCCUGACGCAGCAACACCGCGUGAAUGUUAAGCCCUUCGGGGUGUAAAGUUCUGUCAAUAGGGACGAAUUUUGACGGUACGUGUAAAGGAAGCACCGUCUAACUCCGUGCCAGCAGCCGCGGUAAUACGGUGGGUGCAAGCGUUGUCCGGAAUCAUUGGGCGUAAGGCGUUCGUAGGCGGUAUGUCAAGUCUGAUGUUAAAUCCCGGGGCUCAACUCCGGUUCGGCAUUGGCUACUGGCAAACUAGAAUGUGGUAGAGGUAAAGGGAAUUCCUGGUGUAGCGGUGAAAUGCGUAGAUAUCAGGAGGAACAUCGGUGGCGAAAGCGCUUUACUGGACUAUUAUUGACGCUGAGGAACGAAAGCGAGGGGAGCAAAUAGGAUUAGAUACCCUGGUAGUC